GCCCAUCUCAAAGCACAGGAGUAUUAAACUGCUGGAGAGAGCAAAUCUUCUGACCUGUUCUUGUUGACGGGUACGGCUGUCACCUAUAAUAGUUUCCUGUUCAUGUCCUGCAUCUGUUUCCUCUUGAUAACACAGGCAUGAAGAAGACUGAAACCUCCAGGACAAUUUAGCCUAGCCUGGUAUUUGCAUAUCUUUCCAUACGUGAUGGUUACAAAUGGCUUCUGAGUAGUUAUAAACUUCUGCUGCACUUUUAUCAUACCUGGAAGUACAACACGUCAAGAAGCACCAUGAUGUUACAGGUGUAUUUCAUCUGGCUCCUCUUCUCCAUGGUGGAAGAAUCCACUGGGGACAUCGUUAUAACACAGACACCAGCUUCUGUGACAGUGCUUCCAGGAGAGAUGGUCACCAUUCAGUGCAAGGCCUCCAGCUCCAUGAGUGAUGAUAUGGCUUUGCUGCUGUUCAAAUCUGGACAAACUCCCAAGCUCCUCAUUGCUGAUGGAAACAGCCGUUUCACUGGGGUCCCCGACCAGUUCAGUGGCAGCUAUAGUGGCACAGACUUCACCUUCACCAUCCGCGGGGUGCAGGUGGAAGAUGCUGGCGACUACUACUGUGGGCAGGACAACAGCCGCCCUCCCACAGUGAUACACUGCAGUACAAAAACCUCCUCAGUGCCACAGCAUCUGCUGUGUGAAGCAGAAGGAAGCAGGGGAGGCUGCUUCUGACACAGCUGAUCUGGAAAAUAAUGAAUGUUUUAG
This is a non-coding RNA of Gavialis gangeticus (Gharial), 755 nucleotides long. The record is from the annotation of a RefSeq genome assembly. NCBI's taxonomy places the organism in Eukaryota, Metazoa, Chordata, Crocodylia, Gavialidae.